GUAGGUGAACCUGCGGAAGGAUCAUUACCGAGAGUGGAGCCUGGCUCCAGGGGGGCCAACCGCCCCCAACUCUUUACCCACUGUAAACGUUCUUUGUUGCUUUGGCGAGUCUUGGGGCACGCCUAAGGCCCUCGCCAGAGACCUUCAAACUUGCUGUAAUUUAGGUGGUCUGAGUGUAAAUAAGAAUUAUUAAAACUUUCAACAACGGAUCUCUUGGCUCUGGCAUCGAUGAAGAACGCAGCAUCUGACU
This 250-nucleotide unclassified non-coding RNA is filed under the name plant metagenome. Its description in RNAcentral is "partial contains small subunit ribosomal RNA, internal transcribed spacer 1, and 5.8S ribosomal RNA". The stretch from base 194 to 250 matches the Rfam family "5.8S ribosomal RNA", at positions 1 to 54 of the family's 154-position model. The record is from RNAcentral.